GACGAACGCUGGCGGCGUGCUUAACACAUGCCAGUCGAACGAUGAAGAAGAGAAACGCGAACUUCGGUUCAAAUUUCACUUCGGAUUAGUGGCAGACGGGUGAGUAACGCGUGAGCAACCUACCUCUUACAAAGGGAUAGCCUCGGGAAACCGUGAUUAAUACCAUAUGACACAUUCAUAAGGCAUCUUAAGAAUGUUAAAGCUACGGCGGUAAGAGAUGGGCUCGCGUCCCAUUAGCUAGUUGGUGAGGUAACGGCCCACCAAGGCGACGAUGGGUAACCGGCCUGAGAGGGUGAACGGUCACAUUGGAACUGAGACACGGUCCAAACUCCUACGGGAGGCAGCAGUGGGGAAUAUUGCACAAUGGAGGGAACUCUGAUGCAGCGACGCCGCGUGAGCGAUGAAGGAAUUCGUUUCGUAAAGCUCUGUUCUAUGGGAAGAAAAGGACUGUACCAUAGGAGAAAGCCCCGGCUAAAUACGUG
This 482-nucleotide ribosomal RNA is filed under the name uncultured bacterium. RNAcentral describes it as "partial 16S ribosomal RNA". It matches the Rfam family "Bacterial small subunit ribosomal RNA", at positions 28 to 507 of the family's 1533-position model. The record is from RNAcentral.